Molecule: non-coding RNA, 366 nt
Organism: Paramuricea clavata
Lineage: Eukaryota; Metazoa; Cnidaria; Anthozoa; Malacalcyonacea; Plexauridae
Source: the annotation of a GenBank genome assembly
GUGAGGGGUUGGGAUGGGAUUAGGGUGACUUAGUUUGGGGGGGGGGUUAGUUGAUGGGGUGUACACGGGUUUGGAAUGUGGUUUGGGGUUAAAAUUCCGGUGGGGAUUGGGUUAGGUCUGGAUUGCUGCUCAGGAAAGUGGAUUGAGUUAGUUUUUAACAGUGUUGUAGGUUUGGGAAGUUUAGAGUGGGUUAGGUGUGUAAAUGUUGUAGGAAUGUGUCCCUGAUAAAAGUGGAAACAUCGGAUGAAAAUGUUAUUGAGAGGUUGGAGUGGAUAGCGAGGGAUAUAUUGAUGUUAUGAUAGCUUUGUAAUGGCAGAGUUUGGGGCAGAAGUUUUUUGCCACAACAUUUUUCGUUCUUUGAAAGGU